UGGGGAAUUUUGGACAAUGGGCGAAAGCCUGAUCCAGCAAUGCCGCGUGUGUGAAGAAGGCCUUCGGGUUGUAAAGCACUUUUGUCCGGAAAGAAAUCCUUGGCUCUAAUACAGUCGGGGGAUGACGGUACCGGAAGAAUAAGCACCGGCUAACUACGUGCCAGCAGCCGCGGUAAUACGUAGGGUGCAAGCGUUAAUCGGAAUUACUGGGCGUAAAGCGUGCGCAGGCGGUUUGCUAAGACCGAUGUGAAAUCCCCGGGCUCAACCUGGGAACUGCAUUGGUGACUGGCAGGCUAGAGUAUGGCAGAGGGGGGUAGAAUUCCACGUGUAGCAGUGAAAUGCGUAGAGAUGUGGAGGAAUACCGAUGGCGAAGGCAGCCCCCUGGGCCAAUACUGACGCUCAUGCACGAAAGCGUGGGGAGCAAACAGGAUUAGAUACCCUGGUAGUCCACGCCCUAAACGAUGUCAACUAGUUGUUGGGGAUUCAUUUCCUUAGUAACGUAGCUAACGCGUGAAGUUGACCGCCUGGGGAGUACGGUCGCAAGAUUAAAACUCAAAGGAAUUGACGGGGUCAUAGCUGUUUCC
This 584-nucleotide ribosomal RNA is filed under the name uncultured bacterium. RNAcentral's name for it is "partial 16S ribosomal RNA". It matches the Rfam family "Bacterial small subunit ribosomal RNA", at positions 355 to 937 of the family's 1533-position model. The record is from RNAcentral.